AUUGGCAGUCAAAUAAAAAUAUUUUAUAUUAUUUGAUUUUAACAUAUAAGAAUUAAAAGUUUUUAUACAUGCAUAAAUACUGAUAAAAACCUGAAAGGGACUGUUGAAAAAUAUGGAUUAGCUUUGAAAAAAGACAGUUUAAAUAGAAAUAGCAAAGUUUUGGUAUGAGAUGUUACUACCAUUAGGAUAAUUGAUAAAUAUUACAGGACCAGGACCAAGUUGAUACAGGACCAGGUAAUAAACAUGAAAAACUACAGAAAAUACCGAAUGAAGGGCCAUGCAUUGACAAACGACACUUGUAGGAAAUGCCACAUAACAACUGAAACAAUUCAGCACAUUACAUCAAGUUGCAAGCUGCUUGCACAAACAGAUUAUCUGCACAGACACAACCAAGUAGCAAACAUAGUACACCAAAAGCUUGCAACCAAACACAAAUUAAUAAACACACUCACAUCAUAUUACAAAUACAUUACCAGA
This 477-nucleotide long non-coding RNA is filed under the name Androctonus crassicauda. Lineage: Eukaryota; Metazoa; Arthropoda; Arachnida; Scorpiones; Buthidae. The record is from RNAcentral.